AUGAUCGUUUACCAGGACAGGCUUCCCGGCAACGAGCUCCUGUCGGAUUCAUUCUUGUACAGGGAGUUGGAGAACGGCGUGCUCUGGGAAGUAGAUGGACAAUGGGUCGUUCAAGGUGCAGUUGAUGUGGACAUUGGUGCCAAUCCCUGUAAUGAGGGUGGUGAUCAUGAGGGUGGUGAUCAGGAGGGUGUCGAUGAAGAGGCCGUGAAGGUGAUUGACAUUGUUGACACCUUCCGUCUUCAGGAGCUACCAGCUUUUGAGAGGAAGGAGUUUUGCACUUACAUGAAGCGCUACAUCAAGAACCUCAGUGCCAAGCUUGAAGAUGAGGAACAAGAAUGUUUCAAGAACAACAUUGAGUCUGCCACAAAGUUUCUUUUUAGCAAGCUCGCGGAUUUUCAGUUCUUUGUGGGCGAGAGCAUGCAUGAUGAUGGCAGCCUGGUGUUCGCCUACUACAAGGACGGAGCUGCUGACCCAACUUUCCUCUACUUCGCACAUGGGCUGAAAAAGAUCAACUGCUAA
This 519-nucleotide ribosomal RNA is filed under the name Triticum aestivum (bread wheat). RNAcentral describes it as "partial small subunit ribosomal RNA". The record is from RNAcentral. Lineage: Eukaryota; Viridiplantae; Streptophyta; Magnoliopsida; Poales; Poaceae.